CAACUUUCAGCAACGGAUCUCUUGGCUCUCGCAUCGAUGAASAACGCAGCGAAAUGCGAUAAGUAAUGUGAAUUGCAGAAUUCAGUGAAUCAUCGAAUCUUUGAACGCACCUUGCGCUCCUUGGUAYUCCGAGGAGCAUGCCUGUUUGAGUGUCMUUAA
Molecule: ribosomal RNA, 159 nt
Filed under: Cortinarius clandestinus
Lineage: Eukaryota; Fungi; Basidiomycota; Agaricomycetes; Agaricales; Cortinariaceae
Description: 5.8S ribosomal RNA
Rfam family: 5.8S ribosomal RNA
About the family: 5.8S ribosomal RNA (5.8S rRNA) is a component of the large subunit of the eukaryotic ribosome. It is transcribed by RNA polymerase I as part of the 45S precursor that also contains 18S and 28S rRNA.
Source: RNAcentral